GGGAAAGCCUGUCCACUCCAGGUCGGGGCGGAGAAGCCAUGUAACAGCUGUGUCUUCUAAGGCAAACCCUACAAGGACCAUCAAUGUCCAUGUCUUACAGGUUCAUGCUACUGUCUGCUCCCAGGUCUGGUGGCCUGCAGGGCCUUGCUAGCCACAGGAGUAGUCCACGGCUCCAAAGCCAACUCGUCCCUGACUCCUGCAGGAAAUGGGUGGACCUGGGUUUGAAGGACUUUCUCUCUAGUCCAUCCAUUUACUAUUAACCAGCUGGUAUAUUGCUGUCUCCCCCCCAGGGUGACAAAGACUUCCCCCCAGCAGCUGCACAAGUGGCCCACCAGAAGCCACAUGCCUCCAUGGACAAACAUGUUUCUCCAAGAACGCAGCAUAUCCAACAGCCUCGCAAGUGACCAACGCCCAGACCCCUGCCACCUCAGCAGCAGCAGCAGCAGCAGCACCUGUGCCCCCUCCAGGAUGCUUCCCCGACAAAAUCAACUCAAACACCUUCUACAGAGUUUACUAAAUUUAGAAAUCUAAGACAAAGCAAAGUGGGCCUCGGUUGUGUCAGAUCCCCAUGUUUAAAACUAGAAGAGGCUCAAACACCAAAUUUUGUUUCUAAGAGUCCUAGUCGAGUGUCAGUAAAGGGUCAUUGAACCCCUAGAAGUGCCAUUAGCAGAACAUGGCAAGUCCUGAGUAAAAGGAAGUCCUUCGCACUAUAGCAGUAGUUUAAAGUCCUUACUCGUGGUCCUAAGAGGAAGAGGCCACUUUGGAGAGGUUUGAUAAGGUUAGGAGAAGAAAAAACAAAACACUAUGGUAUGGUCCGAACAGCUGUGCUCCCUUCUGCCCCCAGUCCAUGGCUGCAAAUCCCUGUUUUUCAGAAAAGUCAAAGAGCUAGAUGUAGAGCCUUCUGGAGUGCUGCUCUUGGAGGGUCCUCCUGGCUGUCCCAGUGGCCUACAGUGGCUCCAGCUCAGUUCACGGUUGCUCUAUGAGCACCAUGUACGCCACCAGCCUUUCCAGGACUACUACAUGGCCUGUACCAUGUCGCUAAAGGAGGGAUGGGCUCCUCGGAUUUUAUGAGCAAUCCAGUAUCCCAACAGUGGCCUUCACAUGGAGCAGAACACAGCCCCCAAGACUGUGUUGUCAGUCUCUUCUUUGUAAUUACUAAAAUGGUGGGAACCCAGGGUCGCUUUGGAGACCCAGACUUGGCUGCAGCCUACAGCCUUGCUCAGUCAUAUGGAACCAAAUCUAGGAAGGGACCUUAGAGACAGCAACGCCAGUUCCCUGUGCAGACCUUCCCACGUGUUGCCUGCAUCCGCAAUCCCUUUUAGUUCAGCCACCUGAGGGGCUACCCCGUGUUCCGUGUACUCUGAGCUAGCUCCGGUGUGUGUCUGUGGACUCUGGGUCACUAAAGGUUUGCCCGAAUGAAUUUCUGAAUCUUUGGCGUUGAGAAGAUGUUGAUUCUAAUAAAGCUCCUGCAUUUCUGCCUCAGUGUCUCUCUUA
Molecule: long non-coding RNA, 1494 nt
Filed under: Rattus norvegicus (Norway rat)
Lineage: Eukaryota; Metazoa; Chordata; Mammalia; Rodentia; Muridae
Description: long non-coding RNA NONRATT015126
Source: RNAcentral